GUACUUUCCCUGUUUCAAGCUCUUGUUAGAAUGGUUGAACUCCUGGCAAUCUUGAUCACAAACCUUGACAGCUGCUCCGGUUAGCAUCGUUGUCUCUCCUUAUAACUCUCCUUAUGGUUGACAUCCUGAAAAUUUGUAUAUAGUGCAUGGCCUAGCAAGCGAACACAUACUUCUGAAUGAUCGCCUCCAGCAAUCACACUCUGCUCCAGUGUCCCAGUGGCUCCAUCGGUCAGGUAAACUGGCCGCUUCUUCCGACAUGGGACGCCCGUUUCUUUGUUCUGCAAAAGAACAAACCAAGAUUUUACCGCGCUUAACAUAGGAAACAUCCAGCAAUCUCACUCUCCUUGAGCAUCUCGGUGUUUUUCGCUAAGUAAAGUUCCCGCGUCUCACCGAUGCCCAUUUCUUUCUUCUGCAAAGAGCAAACCAGGAUACAGCAAAUGCGAAAGCUCUAGACUUCUGAUCUUUCCAGCGCUCUAGGAACAUGCCGAUGAUCAAGAAUCACAAACCUCGAUGCCAGCGGUCACCAGCCUCACGAUCUUGCAAGAAGCCACAUCGCUCAGUGAAAUUCCCCGAUUACAAGCCGCGGUAUUUCCAUGUGCUUCAUCUGAGCUGCCUACUUCCUUGUCCUGCAAAGAAGAAUAAAAUCCACCAUGACCAGCGCCAGAAUCACCGCAAAAAAUGUAGCACUGCGCCUCAUGAUGCGAUCGCGAUCAUCCGGGCGCUCUAAAGAACCCUAAAGCUUGAGAAUUCCGCCGUCUGAGCUACGG
This 767-nucleotide long non-coding RNA is filed under the name Selaginella moellendorffii. RNAcentral describes it as "long non-coding RNA (SMOE_LNC000095)". Lineage: Eukaryota; Viridiplantae; Streptophyta; Lycopodiopsida; Selaginellales; Selaginellaceae. The record is from RNAcentral.